Molecule: long non-coding RNA, 1486 nt
Filed under: Homo sapiens (human)
Lineage: Eukaryota; Metazoa; Chordata; Mammalia; Primates; Hominidae
Description: HSALNT0296956
Source: RNAcentral
UUCUGAGUUCUCCAUUCUAUUUCAUUUUAUAUGUCUACCUUUAUGUCAGUACCACACUGUUUUGAUUAUUGUAAUUUUGUAAUUAAGUCAUUUAUUCUAACAGACUUUUUUAUUGUGUGUGGAAUCCUUAGCGUUUUCCAAACAUAAGAUUAUAUUACUUGCAAAAAGAAAUGUUUACUUUUUUCUUUACAGUUUGAAUACCUUUGAUUUCUUUUUCUUGCCUAAUUGCUCUGGCUAGAACUUCCAGUUCCAUGUUGAAUUGAAGUGAUGAAAAUGGGCAUCCUUCCCUUGUUCUUGAUAUUAGAGGGGAAGAUUUUAAUCUUUCACCAUUGAGUAUGAUGUUCACUGGGGUUUUUCACAUGUGGCUUUUAUUGUGUUGAGGUGAUUUCCUUCUACUACUAGUUUGUUGAGUGUUUAUCAUGAAAGGGUGUUGAGUUUUGUCAAAUGCUCUUUCACCAUCAAUUAAGAUGGUUAUGUUUUUUUCCCUUUAUUCUGUAAAUGUGGUAUAUUACAUUGAUUGAUUUUUAUAUGUUGAACCAUCUUGGCAUUCUAGGAAUAAAUCCCACUUGGUCAUGGUGUAUAAUCUUUUUACUAUGCUGAAUUCAGUUUGCUUGUAUUUUGUUGAGGAUUUUUGCAUCAAUGUUCAUAAGAAAUAUUGAUCUAUAAUUUUCUUUUCUGUAGUGUCUUUGUCUGGCUUCCGUAUCAGGAUAAUGCUGAUCUUGUAUAAAUAAGUUAGUAAAUGUUUCCUCUUCUUCAGUUAUUUAGAAAAGUUUGAGAAGGAUUGGUAUUUGUUCUUUAAAUGUUUGGUAGAACUCACCAGUGAAGCAAUCAGGCCCAGGACUUUUCACAGCUGCAUGUUUUAACCUUUAAAUUAAAGUGAAAAAAUCCUGCAAAGUUUCUUUAUAUGGUAUGGUAGUCACUUGACAUGGUCACUAGUAUUCCAAAUCUCCUCCCUCUGGGUCCAUGGGCACUUCUUUGCCCAUUGUGACCACGUGACUUGUUUUUCCAGAUGAAAUGUGAGUGGAGGGGAUAUGUGUCACCUUUAAGGGGAAGUCUUAAGACCCAAUGCAGAAUUCUACAAUCUCCAUUCUGCCUACCAUGGUGACCUGCAAAGUUCCAGAUUUCUGAUCUCUUUCAAUCUGCAUUCCUGAAUAAGGACAUGACACGGAGCAGUGACCCUGCUGACCUGUGAUGAACAUGUACCCACGAGCAAAUUCCUCUUCUAUACCGGGUGCAGUCAUCUUUAGCUUGUCAGUUAUUGUCACAACUUGUUGGGAAGAUCAUCAGCUUAGCCACAUAGAGUUGCCUAAAUAUUUGAGCAGAAACCCCAGCCCUUCUGCAGGGUCUCACGUGAACAUCCUACCAGAUGUGGGGAUAUCAAGGUUGUAGAUGAAGUACCUGGCAAGCAUGUCAGAAUUCUGAGCUGCCACUGGAUGAGAAACUUCCAUGUCAGAGAAUCCUUUCUCCUUCCUACAUGGAGAGGUGG